RNAcentral lists this ribosomal RNA (292 nucleotides) under uncultured bacterium. RNAcentral's name for it is "partial 16S ribosomal RNA". It matches the Rfam family "Archaeal small subunit ribosomal RNA", at positions 455 to 747 of the family's 1478-position model. The record is from RNAcentral.
GUGCCAGCAGCCGCGGUAAUACCCGCGGCCCGAGUGGUGGUCGAUAUUAUUGAGCCUAAAACGUCCGUAGCCGGUCUCAUAAAUCCUUGGGUAAAUCGGCCAGCUUAACUGUCCGAAGUCCGAGGAGACUGUGAGACUUGGGAUCGGGAGAGGUCAGAGGUACUUCUGGGGUAGGGGUAAAAUCCUGUAAUCCUGGAAGGACCACCGGUGGCGAAGGCGUCUGACUAGAACGAAUUCGACGGUGAGGGACGAAGCCCUGGGGCGCAAACGGGAUUAGAAACCCUCGUAGUCC